UAAAACUUGCCGUUCCCUUGGAAUCCGAUGAGCGCUGCAUUGUAUCUACUCAUAUUUGAUUUGCCGUGUUCGAUACACUGUACUUGCCGUACCCUUGCAAUCCGAUGAGCGCUGCAUAAUACUUUCUUUGAUUAUCCGAUACACUGGUAAGUUUGUAAACUUUAUUAAAACAUAAUUUAUUACAUUUUAAUCUUAAAUCACAUUUAACGUGAGUAUUGUAAUAAUUCAAAAUUAACGCUUGCCGUCGGAUCUUUUGGUAAAUUUUCUUUUUGUAACACCCUGUAUAUUUGUUUCCAUUUUCAAUCAAAUAGAAAAUGAGCUAUUUCCUAAUCCCGAUAGUACUUCGGGAAGUGCUACUUGCUUGCAUGUGCGCGUUUAUGCAGGUCGGGAGUCCCGUUUCAAUAUGGCGGCGUGUAUUUUGUGCGCCGUAGAACGCGUAUUACAAUAAAUUCGGAAUAAUUUU
Dalotia coriaria is the source of this 463-nucleotide long non-coding RNA. RefSeq lists it as uncharacterized. The transcript has 4 exons. The record is from RefSeq and is a predicted model, not a curated record. Lineage: Eukaryota; Metazoa; Arthropoda; Insecta; Coleoptera; Staphylinidae.